CUUAGGAUGAACGCUAGCGACAGGCCUAACACAUGCAAGUCAGGGGCAGCACAAGGAGCAAUCUGAGGUGGCGACCGGCGCACGGGUGAGUAACACGUAUGCAACCUGCCUGUAAGCGGGGAAUAACCCGUUGAAAGACGGACUAAUACCGCAUAAUACUAAAUUACUGCAUGGUAAUUUAUUUAAACAUUUAUGGCUUACAGAUGGGCAUGCGCAUGAUUAGCUAGUUGGAGAGGUAAUGGCUCCCCAAGGCAACGAUCAUUAGGGGUUCUGAGAGGAAGGUCCCCCACACUGGUACUGAGACACGGACCAGACUCCUACGGGAGGCAGCAGUGAGGAAUAUUGGUCAAUGGACGAGAGUCUGAACCAGCCAAGUCGCGUGCAGGAAGAAUGUCCCUAUGGAUUGUAAACUGCUUUUGCAGGGGAAUAAAGUGCAUCACGUGUGAUGUUUUGUAUGUACUCUGCGAAUAAGGAUCGGCUAACUCCGUGCCAGCCGCAGC
This 500-nucleotide ribosomal RNA is filed under the name uncultured bacterium. Its description in RNAcentral is "bacterial SSU rRNA". It matches the Rfam family "Bacterial small subunit ribosomal RNA", at positions 23 to 518 of the family's 1533-position model. The record is from RNAcentral.